Molecule: ribosomal RNA, 376 nt
Filed under: uncultured eukaryote
Lineage: Eukaryota
Description: partial 18S ribosomal RNA
Rfam family: Eukaryotic small subunit ribosomal RNA
Source: RNAcentral
CAAGAGCGUAUAUUAGAGUUGCUGCGGUUAAAAAGCUCGUAGUUGGAUUUCAGUCUAGGAAGGUUAACUCGCCGAAAGGUUGUACGUUGAUUUUCCUCAGACUUCGUCAGAAGCUCGUGCUGCACUUAACUGUGUGGUACGAUGUUCUGACCUUUUACCUUGAGGAAAGUAGAGUGUUUCAGGCAGGCUACCCAGCUUGAAUACAUUAGCAUGGAAUAAUGAAAUGGAUCUCGGUUCGAUUUCGUUGGUUCUAGAGCUGAGGUGAUGAUCAAUAGGAACAGGCGAAGGUAUUCGUACUUGAGAGUGAGGAGUGAAAUCCGAUGAUCUCUUAAAGACGAUCCGAGGCGAAAGCAUUUGUCAAGGAUGUUUUCAUUGA